This 448-nucleotide ribosomal RNA is filed under the name uncultured bacterium. RNAcentral describes it as "bacterial SSU rRNA". It matches the Rfam family "Bacterial small subunit ribosomal RNA", at positions 330 to 795 of the family's 1533-position model. The record is from RNAcentral.
ACCAGACUCCUACGGGAGGCAGCAGUGGGGGAUAUUGCACAAUGGGGGGAACCCUGAUGCAGCGGCGCCGCGUGGGUGAAGAAGCGCCUCGGCGCGUAAAGCCCUUUCAGCAGGGAAGAAAAUGACGGUACCUGAAGAAGAAGUCCCGGCUAACUACGUGCCAGCAGCCGCGGCAAUACGUAGGGGGCAAGCGUUAUCCGGAUUUACUGGGUGUAAAGGGGGCGCAGACGGCGAUGCAAGCCAGGAGUGAAAGCCCGGGGCCCAACCCCGGGACUGCUCUUGGAACUGCGUGGCUGGAGUGCAGGAGGGGCAGGCGGAAUUCCUGGUGUAGCGGUGAAAUGCGUAGAUAUCAGGAGGAACACCGGUGGCGAAGGCGGCCUGCUGGACUGCAACUGACGUUGAGGCCCGAAAGCGUGGGGAGCAAACAGGAUUAGAUACCCUCGUAACU